GGGGCCGUAGCUCAGCUGGGAGAGCGUUCGGAUGGCAUCCGAAAGGUCAGGGGUUCGAUCCCCCUCGGCUCCA
Molecule: transfer RNA, 73 nt
Filed under: Actinomycetes bacterium
Lineage: Bacteria; Bacillati; Actinomycetota; Actinomycetes
Also listed under: 4 other names
Description: Actinobacteria bacterium tRNA-Ala
Rfam family: tRNA
About the family: Transfer RNA (tRNA) molecules are approximately 80 nucleotides in length. Their secondary structure includes four short double-helical elements and three loops (D, anti-codon, and T loops).
Source: RNAcentral